GCGCUCGUAGCUCAGGGGAUAGAGCGGUGGUUUCCGGUACCGCGUCAUGCGGGGGUUCGAUUCCCUCCGAGCGCGCCA
This 78-nucleotide transfer RNA is filed under the name Bacillus sp. LL01. RNAcentral describes it as "tRNA-Arg". It matches the Rfam family "tRNA". Rfam says of the family: Transfer RNA (tRNA) molecules are approximately 80 nucleotides in length. Their secondary structure includes four short double-helical elements and three loops (D, anti-codon, and T loops). Further hydrogen bonds mediate the characteristic L-shaped molecular structure. tRNAs have two regions of fundamental functional importance: the anti-codon, which is responsible for specific mRNA codon recognition, and the 3' end, to which the tRNAs corresponding amino acid is attached (by aminoacyl-tRNA synthetases). tRNAs cope with the degeneracy of the genetic code in two manners: having more than one tRNA (with a specific anti-codon) for a particular amino acid; and 'wobble' base-pairing, i.e. permitting non-standard base-pairing at the 3rd anti-codon position. The record is from RNAcentral. Lineage: Bacteria; Bacillati; Bacillota; Bacilli; Caryophanales; Bacillaceae.